This 74-nucleotide microRNA precursor is filed under the name Strigamia maritima. RNAcentral describes it as "mir-252 microRNA precursor family". It matches the Rfam family "mir-252 microRNA precursor family". The record is from Rfam by way of RNAcentral. Lineage: Eukaryota; Metazoa; Arthropoda; Chilopoda; Geophilomorpha; Linotaeniidae.
AUCCUUUCCUAAGUACUAGAGCCGCAGGAAUCUGAAACCGAGAACUCCUGCAGCCUUGGUACUUAACAAGGGGA